UACGUAGGGGGCAAGCGUUAUCCGGAUUUACUGGGUGUAAAGGGGGCGCAGACGGCAGCGCAAGCCAGGAGUGAAAGCCCGGGGCCCAGCCCCGGGACUGCUCUUGGAACUGCGCGGCUGGAGUGCAGGAGGGGCAGGCGGAAUUCCUGGUGUAGCGGUGAAAUGCGUAGAUAUCAGGAGGAACACCGGUGGCGAAGGCGGCUUACUGGACCAUGACUGACGUUGAGGCUCGAAAGCGUGGGGAGCGAACAGG
This 253-nucleotide ribosomal RNA is filed under the name uncultured bacterium. RNAcentral's name for it is "partial 16S ribosomal RNA". It matches the Rfam family "Bacterial small subunit ribosomal RNA", at positions 524 to 776 of the family's 1533-position model. The record is from RNAcentral.